This 497-nucleotide ribosomal RNA is filed under the name uncultured bacterium. RNAcentral describes it as "partial 16S ribosomal RNA". It matches the Rfam family "Bacterial small subunit ribosomal RNA", at positions 28 to 507 of the family's 1533-position model. The record is from RNAcentral.
GAUGAACGCUGGCGGCGUGCCUAAUACAUGCAAGUCGAGCGAACAGACGAGGAGCUUGCUCCUCUGACGUUAGCGGCGGACGGGUGAGUAACACGUGGAUAACCUACCUAUAAGACUGGGAUAACUUCGGGAAACCGGAGCUAAUACCGGAUAAUAUAUUGAACCGCAUGGUUCAAUAGUGAAAGACGGUUUUGCUGUCACGUAUAGAUGGAUCCGCGCCGCAUUAGCUAGUUGGUAAGGUAACGGCUUACCACGGCAACGAUGCGUAGCCGACCUGAGAGAGUGAUCGGCCACACUGGAACUGAGACACGGUCCAGACUCCUACGGGAGGCAGCAGUAGGGAAUCUUACGCAAUGGGCGAAAGCAUGACGGAGCAACGCCGAGUGAGUGAUGAAGGUCUUCGGAUCGUAAAACUCUGUUAUUAGGGAAGAACCAAUGUGUCAGUAACUAUGCACGUAUUGACGGUACCUAAUAAGAAAGCAACGGCUAACUACGUG